This 460-nucleotide ribosomal RNA is filed under the name uncultured bacterium. RNAcentral's name for it is "partial 16S ribosomal RNA". It matches the Rfam family "Bacterial small subunit ribosomal RNA", at positions 338 to 795 of the family's 1533-position model. The record is from RNAcentral.
CCUACGGGCGGCUGCAGUGAGGAAUAUUGGUCAAUGGACGAGAGUCUGAACCAGCCAAGUAGCGUGAAGGAUGACUGCCCUAUGGGUUGUAAACUUCUUUUAUAUGGGAAUAAAAUGUUCCACGUGUGGGAUUUUGUAUGUACCAUAUGAAUAAGGAUCGGCUAACUCCGUGCCAGCAGCCGCGGUAAUACGGAGGAUCCGGGCGUUAUCCGGAUUUAUUGGGUUUAAAGGGAGCGUAGGUGGAUUGUUAAGUCAGUUGUGAAAGUGUGCGGCUCAACCGUAGAAUUGCAGUUGAAACUGGCAGUCUUGAGUACAGUAGAGGUGUGCGGAAUUCGUGGUGUAGCGGUGAAAUGCUUAGAUAUCACGAAGAACUCCGAUUGCGAAGGCAGUUCACUGGACUGCAACUGACACUGAGGCUCGAAAGUGUGGGUAUCAAACAGGAUUAGAUACCCGAGUAGUC